GAUGAAGAACGUAGCGAAAUGCGAUAAGUAAUGUGAAUUGCAGAAUUCAGUGAAUCAUCGAAUCUUUGAACGCACAUUGCGCCCGCCAGUAUUCUGGCGGGCAUGCCUGUCCGAGCGUCAUUUCAACCAUCAAGCCCCCGGGCUUGUGUUGGGGACCUGCGGCUGCCCGCAGGCCCUGAAAACCAGUGGCGGGCUCGCUGUCACACCGAGCGUAGUAGCAAUCACCUCACUCAGGGCGUGCUGCGGGUUCCGGCCGUGAAACCCCCUACUUUUAAAGGUUGACCUCGGAUCAGGUAGGAAUACCCGCUGAACUUAAGCAUAUCAAUAAGCGGAGGA
RNAcentral lists this unclassified non-coding RNA (336 nucleotides) under soil metagenome. RNAcentral describes it as "partial contains 5.8S ribosomal RNA, internal transcribed spacer 2, and large subunit ribosomal RNA". The stretch from base 1 to 120 matches the Rfam family "5.8S ribosomal RNA", at positions 35 to 154 of the family's 154-position model. The record is from RNAcentral.